CCAGCAGGUUUUGCGCUUUCGUUUCCUAAUCUUUCCUAUUAGAAUCCUCGUAGGUUAGAGGUAAAGCACUGGUCUUCCACCAUCAGGGCCACAGUUCAAGUCUCCGUCCCUUUUUCUGUUCAUACAUUAACAGUCAUUUGUUAUGACUUAAACUGAGUUGAUAGACUUUGAGGGAGGCAAGGAUAUAUUUAUUGUGAGAGCCUCAGGGCUGAGGGAAGGAGGUUCAGUUGGUGCAACUGACAGAGACGUUAAGAGUUCUUUUUCAAAAUCUUUCCUGUUAGCAGCUUCAUUACUAAUCUAUUAGGUGCUCGACCCGCAACCAUAAGGGCCACGGUUCGAGCCUUUGGUCCAUUUUUAGUACUAUAUACUUUGUUCCAAAGUUCUUAGGUUCGAGUAUGUAUGUAUACACUCAGUGGCUACUACCUUCUAAUUCUGGGUAGGGUUUCCCUUUGUCCCCAGAACAGCCCGAAUUCUUCGUUGCAUGGAUUAAACAAGGUGCUUUUUCAAGUUAUUUCUAUAAUACGAUUCUCACACUCGUACUUACACCGGUCAAUAACAAUGCGGACCUUCUGUGUUUACUCGCAGGUCCAAAGAAAUCACGGAAUGUGCCGCCUGAUGUGGGUAUGUCGCAUCAUUAUCGCAUUUGUGAGUUUGGUGGCUUCGACUGCCUGAAGAAGGAGAACUUGGUGGACAGGAGAGCACACAACUGGUUGGUGCCUCUGGUCAAGAGUGUCGCCAACGCCUGCACCAAAAUAUUUCCAUUACUUGGAAAAUGUCCUGAGGCGCCACCGCUUGGGUCUCCAUGGUAAGGUACCACGGAGACGUAAAAUACCGUGCCUCCCUUGGAGUCUCCAUGGUAAGGCACCACGUGGAUCUCACGACCGUGCCUUCAACGCUUUUCCAACAACCUGUGAUCCUUGCAUUUGUGAAGCAGCCAUGAAUCAUGUCACGUUGUCAGGAUAGAUCUGCGUCUACAAUUUCGUUAUUAACAGUGCCGACGGAUUUGAGUUCCAUUCAAUUCGGAGUACAAACCCGAAUUAAGUCAGAAUCAAAUUUGAUUCGGAGUAUAUUGAAAUGGAACUCACGUGUUCCCACUAGAUCCGUGAGCGACCAUCACGUAGCACAUUGUAGCUGUAAUUAUUAGUAACACUGAUGACAGAUCUAGUGGAAAUAAUUUAAUUACUGUGUUACAGUGCAAAACUUCAGUGUUAACAUCAGCUGUCAGAGGGAGAACCUCACUGAAGGAUACAUACAUUAGAAUACAUAAUGAGUUUAACGUGUCACGAUGAAGGACAGCAAAAUAAUAUUUUUGAAACGAAGACUGAAGAAAAAUCAUGUUUACAAUGUAAUAGUGCUGCUAAUCUCCUAGAAUAUUUUUUUUAUUAAAAACAAGGGCAACUAUGUUAUCAUACAGAAAGGGGAGGAACUUCAUAAAGUUGCUGAACAGUGUAAGCAUUAUAUUAACUAUCUGUCAUGAUGAAUGGUUUGAAAAACCGACAAGUUGAAGAUUGAGACAAUUAUGCAACAUAUGGGAAUCUUUAUUCAGGAAACGUUUCGCCACACAGUGGCUUCAUCAGUCCGAUACAAAGUAGAAAUGGUUUUUCAAACCAUUCAUCACAACUGUCUGACACUGCAGCAUCAUGGGAUCUUGUUACAAAGAAUUCUUCAACACUUGUCCAACCUUUGGAAGAAGACCUACUUCGACUAGUGGAUGGUACCACUAUGACCUCACCUCCUCCUGCUUCGCCUCACCUCACUACAGUAUAUAAGCCACGUCUACGGCCCUAUGCUGUACAUUCUACAAGAUUGAUGGACUGAACACAUCGACUCCAGGCUGAGGGACUGAUUACCUCAAACUCCUCCUCUCCUUACGCCUUUCUACUUUGUAUCGGACUGAUGAAGCCACUGUGUGGCGAAACGUUUCCUGAAUAAAGAUUCCCAUAUGUUGCAUAAUUGUCUCAAUCUUCAAGUAUCUGUCAUACUGAUGGUUGUGAUAAUCUUCGGAAAACAUUCACAUGGCGUUUGUCCUUGAAAUUUGAGCUUGAGUGUCAUGUAAUGCAACUCACCCAAGCCUUAAAACAUUUAAACUAUCGGAAGUGGAACUUUAAAUGUUCAGGCAUUACUCCCAUAACUACACCAUUCUACCACUUACAUAACUAUUACGAUGUAACUAAGUAAUUGGCCUGCUUUAGUUAGGAAUCAUAGUCCACACAUCUCGGUGUAAGAACUGUCAGAGAACUCUAGCGUCAUGCAAAGCAGGAGGGGAAGAUCAGGAGAAGGACACAGUGUCCUUCAGAUACACUGAGGUAGUAAACACGAUAUCCCUGUCUUACAAUGAGGCAAAAAGACAAAGAUUCUUCGAGAUGCAUAGAGGGGAAAGGACAAGUCAUCUAGAGAUACAAUGAGGUGGAGAAAGGUAUCUUUGAAUUACACCGAAGCGAAAGAAUAUAUUCUUUCCCUAACAUACACCCAAGUAGACGGACUAGGGAUACCUUAUAUACUGAGUAGAAGAACAAGGUAUCCUUGAGACACACCAAAGUCUUGGUCAUAUGGAAUCUAGACAAUACCAGCCCUGGUCCGGAGGGUUCCCGGGUACACUGCUAGCCUUCCACUGAAUCAUCGAGUUACAGUGUUAAUAAAUGUGAGGUUAGUAAUAACGGAAGUACUUACAAUGAUAGAAGAAGCUGUAGUAGUUCCUAGUCUUUACAAUAAGACACUUUUUUCCUAGAUGAGAGAACUCUUCUCUCAGCUUUAUGGACGGUUUCGCAGUUUAAAUAAUGAAGUGGGUUGGUUUCUACACAAAGGUUGAUGAAUACAUUAUCAAGGAUAGUAGGCUGCAGCAGCGGCUAGUGGCAGUAGCAGUGAAAAGACAUUCAGACAAAAUUUUUAUUGACAUUUUAUUUUUGUGAUGUGUUUGUCUCGAGUAGGUCAUGCAGCACAAGGAUUGGAGGCUCCAUUAUUAUUACAAUCAAGGGGAAAGCGCUAAACCAGUAGGAUUAUAAGCGCCUGUUGGGUGGAUGUGGAAGGCAUUCAGGCUUAAUUCAGGGAACUCGACUACAGAUCCAAUUCCCUAGAUCAAAAGUCCCUCACCAGCAUCAUGGAACCUUCCUUGAGUGAUGGAGGCUCCAUCUACCACUCGCUAAACGCAGAACAAACACUACUAAACUGUAAUUAUCUAGUCCUUAUACAUCUGUGAAGAACCCAACCCAGUCCACUAUUUCAACCUAAUGCAUAGACCGCCACGGAGACUAGACAGAUCCAAACUCACUUAAGAGGCAUUUCAAUAGGGGUCCACACGAAGCUCAAAAUGAUAACUCCAGAAGCAGUUUUUUUUAGGCCAGGAAACAGAAUAUUCUCUUUCGGUUCAAUCUGAUCCAUAGAUCCAGAGUGAUGAUCAAUCAGAAGUUACUGUCAGUAUUAUCUUAAUGUCAACUCCAGCACUACGUAUAACUGUGUCAGUAUAAAUGCUACAGUCGCUUAUGUAUAAAUAUAGGAUUACAUUGCUGAAAUCUGGAAUAUGAUAGGAUUGUAAGUAUGUGCAUUUUAUUUAAAUAAUAUAAUACAUUACACAAAA
This is a non-coding RNA of Cherax quadricarinatus, 3574 nucleotides long. The record is from RefSeq and is a predicted model, not a curated record. NCBI's taxonomy places the organism in Eukaryota, Metazoa, Arthropoda, Malacostraca, Decapoda, Parastacidae.